AGUUUGAUCAUGGCUCAGAACGAACGCUGGCGGCGUGCCUAACACAUGCAAGUCGUACGAGAAAUCACGCUCUUUGAGUGUGAGAGUAAAGUGGCGCACGGGUGAGUAACGCGUGGGUAACCUGCCCCUGAAUCUGGGAUAAUCCGCCGAAAGGCGGCCUAAUACCGGAUAAAAUCUUUUGUUGUUAGGGCAAGAGAUCAAAGCCAGUCUCUCUUAAAGAAGCUGGUGUUCAGGGAUGGGCCCGCGUCCUAUCAGCUAGUUGGUGAGGUAAGGGCUCACCAAGGCGAUGACGGGUAGCUGGUCUGAGAGGAUGGUCAGCCACACUGGAACUGGGGCACGGUCCAGACUCCUACGGGAGGCAGCAGUGAGGAAUAUUGCGCAAUGGGGGAAACCCUGACGCAGCGACGCCGCGUGGGUGAGGAAGGCCUUCGGGUUGUAAAGCCCUGUCAGGUGGGAAGAAUCUCUUGGUGUUGAACAGGCAUCAAGACUGACGGUAUCUCC
Molecule: ribosomal RNA, 501 nt
Filed under: uncultured bacterium
Lineage: Bacteria
Description: bacterial SSU rRNA
Rfam family: Bacterial small subunit ribosomal RNA
Source: RNAcentral